AAAGAUGUGGUAAUGGAGGCUAGGGUUUGGUGUGGAGGAAUUGGGGAAGAUGGAAAUGGGUGUGUUGAAUGUUGGGGAUGAUGAAUAAUGUGAGGAAAAGGGGGAGAAAGGGGUUUAAGGGGUGAAAAACCCGACUGGGGCCCACUUGGGGAUGCUCCGCUCUUUUCCCGCGGUCCUGGCCCGCGUCCGCGGCCUUCAAACGUGGGGGAGAGUCAGGGGACCCGCGGUCCCACCCCGCGGCCGCGGGUGGUGACCGCGGGUGUCUCCUGAGUCGGGGGCAGCUGACCCGCGGUCCCACCCCGCGGCCGCGGGUGGUGACCGCGGGCUACUGGGCGUAUUGCGCAGGCCGCUCGUUUUGCUCCGUUCUCCCUCGUCCGGACUCGGAUUUGGUCGCCGUUUGCGCUCACGGAUUCCUCUCGAGACGUACUUCAAUAUCAUAUCUUCAAAAUCCUCCAAUUAAUCCUUGAUUUUUCCUGAAAUUACUCCAAAAC
RNAcentral lists this long non-coding RNA (491 nucleotides) under Salvia miltiorrhiza (redroot sage). RNAcentral describes it as "long non-coding RNA (SMIL_LNC004477)". Lineage: Eukaryota; Viridiplantae; Streptophyta; Magnoliopsida; Lamiales; Lamiaceae. The record is from RNAcentral.